CUGGCAGGAAAGCAGGCUACUGGCAGGAAAGCAGGCUACUGGUAGGAAAGCAGGCUACUAGCAGGAAAGCAGGCUAUGGGCAGGAAAGCAGGCUACUGGCAGGAAAGCAGGCUAUGGGCAGGAAAGAAGGCUACAGGCAGGAAAGCAGGCUACUGGCAGGAAAGCAGGCUACGUGCGGGAAAUCGGGCUACAGGCUACAGACAGGAAAGCAGGCUACAGGUGGGAAAUCAGGCUACAGGCAGGAAAGCAGGCUACAGACAGGAAAGCAGGCUACAGACAGGAAAGCAGGCUACAGGCAGGAAAGCAGGCUACAGACAGGAAAGCAGGCUACAGACAGGAAAGCAGGCUACAGACAGGAAAGCAGGCUACUGGCAGGAAAGCAGGCUACUGGCAGGAAAGCAGGC
Oncorhynchus tshawytscha (Chinook salmon) is the source of this 404-nucleotide long non-coding RNA. Lineage: Eukaryota; Metazoa; Chordata; Actinopteri; Salmoniformes; Salmonidae. The record is from Ensembl.